AGAUAGAAGCAAAAGCAUGCCUUGAGAGAAGAGAACAUCACAAAGCUAGAAUCUACAUUUGGGGCUAUAUUCUCCAGUUCAUAUGCUUUCCCAAUCCAUCACUGAACUGAUCCUAUAAUCCUUAGCCUCGUCACUCAACAGAGACCUCAUCUGUCAGCUGAGUUGUGCAAGAGCCUUCCGAUGGGGCUGUGGAGUGUGUGUCCUGAGAAAGCUCACAGACCAAAAAUGACCCAGGACGUGAAGACACACAGCAAGUAUUGCGUAACCAUCAAAGAGGUUCCCAGGUGUGUGAACUUAGACAGGAAUUUGUCCUGAGGCCUGGGAAAACUUUUUUUUUUAUAAGCCAUCUAUAUCCUAGUCCCCGAAAGCAGUCACUAAAAUGAGUCAACUCCUGCGCCUCCACCCUGGCCGGCACCGAAGUUCACCGCUGGGAACAGGAAUGUAGAGCUUACAUGACUUUCACAGAAUCACCAGCAACGUCAGAGUGAGGGAUCCAUCCCCAAGGUUCCUCAGAAGAUAACUCAUCUCCACACAGGCGCCUGGGCCUUCAACAGAUAAGCAAGUUUAUUCAAAAAAGGCAAAAUGUCAAUGGUAAGCAAAAAAUAUAAGAUAUAAUUUAGAAAUAGUCCCAUGGAUCAAACCGGGCAUUAAACACGGUAAUGGAGCACUCUGCCAUGACUACAGCCCAACCCCCGUGGAAUUAUAGAAGAAUAAUGUGGAUGAGAUGAUGCAGCGUUCAAAAGAGACAUCUUGUUCUUCCUGUGGACCCGAGUUCAGUUCCCAGCACCUCCUCUGGACCACUCACAACAGCCUGUGACUCCAGCUUCAGGGGGUCCAAAUCCCUCUCCUGGUCCCCACGGACACCGCCACACAAUCACACGGACAACAUGCACAUCUAUCUGAAUAAAAACAAAUCUUUUUAAAAAA
Peromyscus eremicus (cactus mouse) is the source of this 927-nucleotide long non-coding RNA. RefSeq lists it as uncharacterized. NCBI's taxonomy places the organism in Eukaryota, Metazoa, Chordata, Mammalia, Rodentia, Cricetidae. The transcript has 2 exons. The record is from RefSeq and is a predicted model, not a curated record.